AUUAAGAUCUUCUAGAGUGUGGUUUUCCCAGGGCGAGGCUUAUCCAUUGCACUCAGGAUAUGCUGAACCCUGCGAUUUCCCCAAAUGCAGGAAACUGGACUGCAUAAUUUGUGGUAGUGGUGUACUGUGUUUGCACUUUCCCUGG
RNAcentral lists this small nuclear RNA (145 nucleotides) under Mus spretus (western wild mouse). RNAcentral describes it as "predicted gene, 23928 (ENSMSPG00010013180.1)". It matches the Rfam family "U1 spliceosomal RNA", at positions 23 to 166 of the family's 166-position model. Rfam says of the family: U1 is a small nuclear RNA (snRNA) component of the spliceosome (involved in pre-mRNA splicing). Its 5' end forms complementary base pairs with the 5' splice junction, thus defining the 5' donor site of an intron. The record is from RNAcentral. Lineage: Eukaryota; Metazoa; Chordata; Mammalia; Rodentia; Muridae.